GGUUUAAUCCUUAGCACCACAUAAAAAUAAAAAUAUUGUGUCAUCUAUAACUAAAAAAUAAACAAAAAAGUAUAUUAGUUGAAUGAUUGAAUUAGUCCUGAAAUAUUAGGUCAUUGUCCUCUCCCACACCCCCUGCUCUGAAUUAGCUAAGCCCCAAGGCAGAGGAACUAAUCCAAGAUGGAGAGAACUAAAAAAAAAAAAAGAAUUUUGGUCUCAGAACUGUUCAAGGAUGUGAUACAUAUAACACAGAUAAGGACUCUCCCUCAGGAAAACUGAACACGAAGCAUAUCAUCCUAAGUGGGAUGAGCAAAGGGUACCAUGACAACAGCAGUGCAGGACCAGGCCUGACCUGGUUGGUGAGGCUGGGUGUCCUACACGGGCUUCUUCAAAGACUUUAAGCUGAGCAUGCCAGAAAAGUGGAAACAAUCUCUGGAAGAAACACUGUGAUGAAACGUCGAGACCCAGAGAGAAAAUGGAACAUUUCAGGAGAGAUGAUGAAGAACACAGAUACCUCACUCAGAAUAGAGAAGAGAGGUGAGCUAUAAUCAGAAAGGAGAGACCUGAAACCCAACACGACAAAGUCAACAGAUAUCAAGCAAGAAACGGGACUGAGGAUUUGGUACUGAGUGCCAUGGAGGCAGGACAGCUCCACAGGUACCUGCUCCACCCAAGACUUGUGAUGCCCGAAGCCUGCUAAGGAACAGGAAGUGGCACCAGUGCCAGCUGCUGUCCCAGAAGACACUCUCCACACAAUGCCCUCAGGAGCCCAGCACACCCAGCACUUUGGCCCUGGGCCAAGCCUCAUCCCCUCCCUCCCUCCCAAGUCUCCUGUCAGAGGCAAGUGGGUCAAGACCCUGUGCAGAAACACUGACCUGAAUAUACCACUUCUGUCUGCCAGUAAUUGAAAGCAGCGAUCCAGGCCUCAAAGUGAUGGGCCUGCCAGGAGGCCACGUGCUGUAGCCCAGGCCCCGCUUCAUUCACCUUCAGGAAGUGCAGCUGCCCCUUGGAGUUGCUGCUGAUGAUUUUCAAGGGCUGGUCACUGGCCCUAGACAUGUAGAACCGAUGGAGAAGCCCAAUGAGCACACUCACCACCCUCUUCUGGUUCACAACCAAGUCCCAGGAUUGGUAGUGAUGUUCCCAAAUACAGGAAUCAAGGCUCAAAACUCUCUCUGGCCUGAAAAUAGGAAAUUCAAUUAUCAGAGGAAUGACUUGAGGCCCUCCUGGCACUUACCU
Marmota flaviventris (yellow-bellied marmot) is the source of this 1233-nucleotide long non-coding RNA. RefSeq lists it as uncharacterized. The record is from RefSeq and is a predicted model, not a curated record. Lineage: Eukaryota; Metazoa; Chordata; Mammalia; Rodentia; Sciuridae.